GAAUUCGGAACGAUCCAUGGGUUUCUGUUGUCCUUCAUUCCACCGGAGUCUGUUUCGUACCUAAUCAGAUUUCAGUGGAGUGAAGCACAAGAGGCAUGGAGUUGAAUC
This 108-nucleotide microRNA precursor is filed under the name Ornithorhynchus anatinus (platypus). Its description in RNAcentral is "microRNA oan-mir-205 precursor". Its record names the gene oan-mir-205. The stretch from base 23 to 96 matches the Rfam family "mir-205 microRNA precursor family". Lineage: Eukaryota; Metazoa; Chordata; Mammalia; Monotremata; Ornithorhynchidae. The record is from miRBase by way of RNAcentral.